This is a long non-coding RNA of Amphimedon queenslandica, 380 nucleotides long. RefSeq lists it as uncharacterized. The transcript is spliced from 3 exons. NCBI's taxonomy places the organism in Eukaryota, Metazoa, Porifera, Demospongiae, Haplosclerida, Niphatidae. The record is from RefSeq and is a predicted model, not a curated record.
UGCUGCGGUCAUGUUCCUCUUUUCUGUGUUUUUUGUUCUAUCUUGUCAUUCUUUAUUCAUUCUGUACCAAGGCAGAAUAUAUAACCCAACCAAUGUCAGUGAAUACAAGUCUUAACUCAACUGUGACCUUUACUUGUGAAGCAACUGGAGUUUCAUUGAUAUCCUUUUAUGUUGGGCAAAUGCCAGCAGCUGAAGAUGUCAAUAUAGAUCAUGGAUUUGAUGAAAGAGGUCAAGUAACUAUUAAUGGAACUAUAAGAAGAAGACAACUAUCAGUUCAUGCAAGAGAAAUUAAUAAUAAUAGCAUCAUAUACUGCUUUGCUUCUCCUGGUGACAUUAGAAGUGACAAUGCUACACUAACAAUACAAGGUCUAUUGGAUAGU